GAUGAACGCUGGCGGCGUGCCUAAUACAUGCAAGUCUGGCGACCGGACGAUAAGCUUGCUUCUCUGAUGUUAGCGGCGAACGGGUGAAGAACACUUGGAAAACCGCCCUAUAAGACUGGGAUAACUUCGGGAAACCCGAGGUAAUACCCGGCAAUAUUUUGAAACGCAUGGUUCAAAAGUGAACGACGGUCUUGCUGUCGCGUAUAGAUGUAUCCGCGCUGCUUUAGCUAGUUGGUAAGGUAACGGCUUAGCAAGGCAACGAUGCAUAGCCGACCUGAGGGUGUGAUCGGCCACACUGGAACUGAGACACGGUCCAGACUCCUACGGGAGGCAGCAGUAGGGAAUCUUCCGCAAUGGGCGAAAGCCUGACGGAGCAACGCCGCGUGAGUGAUGAAGGUCUUCGGAUCGUAAAACUCUGUUAUUAGGGAAGAACAUAUGUGUAAGUAACUGUGCACAUCUUGACGGUACCUAAUCAGAAAGCCACGGCUAACUACGUG
Molecule: ribosomal RNA, 497 nt
Filed under: uncultured bacterium
Lineage: Bacteria
Description: partial 16S ribosomal RNA
Rfam family: Bacterial small subunit ribosomal RNA
Source: RNAcentral